This 962-nucleotide ribosomal RNA is filed under the name Synalpheus scaphoceris. Its description in RNAcentral is "SSU rRNA". It matches the Rfam family "Eukaryotic small subunit ribosomal RNA", at positions 548 to 1478 of the family's 1831-position model. The record is from RNAcentral. Lineage: Eukaryota; Metazoa; Arthropoda; Malacostraca; Decapoda; Alpheidae.
UUGGAGGGCCAAGUCUGGUGCCAGCAGCCGCGGUAAUUCCAGCUCCAAUAGCGUAUAUUAAAGUUGUUGCGGUUAAAAAGCUCGUAGUCUGAGUUCUGUUGGGGACUGGUCGGGGAGGUCACCGCCCGGUGCCUGCCCGUCAGGUCCCGAACAGCCGUACCCGCCGCGAGCGGGGGCCAAGCCGGUUCUGCCGGGGUGCUCUUGACCGAGUGUCCCGCGCGGCCGGCCGGUUCACCUUGAACAAAUGAGAGUGCUCAAAGCAGGCUACUCUUGACACUAAAGCCCGAAUGUUAACUGCAUGGAAUGAUGGAAGAUGAUCUCGGUUCCAUUUUGCUGGGUGGUGGGAAUCCGAGUUAAUGAUAAACAGGGACUGUCGGGGGCAUCCGUACUACGACGCGAGAGGUGAAAUUCAGUGACCGUCGUAGGACGAACAACAGCGAAAGCAUUUGCCAAGAAUGUCUUCGUUGAUCAAGAACGAAAGUUAGAGGAUCGAAGGCGAUCAGAUACCGCCCUAGUUCUAACCCUAAACGAUGCUGACCAGCUAUUCGCCGUCGUUAUUCCCAUGACGUGGCGAGACGCCCCCGGGAAACCUCGAGUCUUUGAGUUCCGGGGGUAGUAUGGUUGCAAAACUGAAACUUAAAGGAAUUGACGGAAGGGCACCACCAGGAGUGGAGCCUGCGGCUUAAUUUGACUCAACACGGGAAACCUCACCAGGCCCGGACACCAGAAGGAUUGACAGAUUAAGAGCUCUUUCUCAAUUUGGUGGGUGGUGGUGCAUGGCCGUUCUUAGUUGGUGGAGUGAUUUGUCUGGUUAAUUCCGGUAACGAACGAGACUCUGGCCUACUAACUAGUGGGCGGGUGUUCCGGUAAGGGGCCCCGCCCGACAAUGUCUUCUUAGAGGGAUGAGCAGCGAGUAUAGCUGCAGGAGAUUGAGCAAUAACAGGUCUGUGAUGCCCUUAGAA